AUUGAACGCUGGCGGCAGGCCUAACACAUGCAAGUCGAGCGGAGAGGCGGACGGGUGAGUAAGGCCUAGGAAUCUGCCUGGUAGUGGGGGAUACGGUCCGGAAACGGGCGCCAUAACCGAUACCGAUAGGUGAAGCGUAGUCCGGAUAGGCAAGUUGGGGGGGUAAAGGCCUACCAAGGCGACGAUCCGUAACUGGUCUGAGAGGAUGAUCAGUCACACUGGAACUGAGACACGGUCCAGACUCCUACGGGAGGCAGCAGUGGGGAAUAGUGGACAAUGGGCGAAAGCCUGAUCCAGCCAUGCCGCGUGUGUGAAGAAGGUCUUCGGAUUGUAAAGCACUUUAAGUUGGGAGGCGUUACCAACAGAAUAAGCACCGGCUAACUUCGUGCCAGCAGCCGCGGUAAUAC
RNAcentral lists this ribosomal RNA (407 nucleotides) under uncultured bacterium. RNAcentral's name for it is "partial 16S ribosomal RNA". It matches the Rfam family "Bacterial small subunit ribosomal RNA", at positions 29 to 526 of the family's 1533-position model. The record is from RNAcentral.